This 471-nucleotide long non-coding RNA is filed under the name Homo sapiens (human). Its description in RNAcentral is "non-protein coding lnc-CDRT1-1:1". The record is from RNAcentral. Lineage: Eukaryota; Metazoa; Chordata; Mammalia; Primates; Hominidae.
CUUGAUUUUUAAAAUCCCAUGUUCUCACUUGUUUUUUUUAAAAUCCCACUUAUUCUGAGGGUCUAGCAGCUAGAGAAGUGCUUUCUAUUUUGUUAGACCCUGAGCUUGACACUUCACAUGUACUUUCUUUGUGAAGGACACAUUACCGUCAGCCCAUUUUACAGAUGCAAAAAGUGACUUAAUGAGGAGAGAAGCCCGAGUUUAGAAAUACAGAAACCACAGCAAGUUCUGCUGUUUCCUUUUCUGCAGGAGUACUGCAAGUUUAAGAACACUGAAGACAUCACCUUCCCUAGUGUUUACGUAGGGCUGAAGGAUAAACUCUCGGGCAUCCGCAAAGUUAUCACGGAAUCCACUGUACACUUAAUCCAGUUGCUGGAGAACUAUAAGAAAAAGCUCCAGGAGUUUUCCAAGGAAGAGGAGUAUGACAUCAGAACUCAAGUGUCUGCCGUUGUUCAGCGCAAAUAUUGGACU